CCUACGGGAGGCAGCAGUGGGGAAUAUUGCACAAUGGGGGAAACCCUGAUGCAGCGACGCCGCGUGAGCGAUGAAGUAUUUCGGUAUGUAAAGCUCUAUCAGCGGGGAAGAAAAUGACGGUACCGGACUAAGAAGCCCCUGCUAACUACGUGCCAGCAGCCGCGGUAAUACGUAGGGGGCAAGCGUGAUCCGGAUUGACUGGGUGUAAAGGGAGCGUAGACGGUCCUGCAAGCCAGAUGUGAAAGCCCUGGGCUCAACCCCGGGACUGCAUUUGGAACUGUAAGGCUAGAGAGUAGGAGAGGCAGGCGGAACUCCAAGUGUAGCGGUGAAAUGCGUAGAUAUUAGGAGGAACACCAGUGGCGAAGGCGGCCUGCUGGACGAUGACUGACGCUGAGGCACGAAAGCGUGGGGAGCAAACAGGAUUAGAUACCCCGGUAGUC
This 440-nucleotide ribosomal RNA is filed under the name uncultured bacterium. RNAcentral's name for it is "partial 16S ribosomal RNA". It matches the Rfam family "Bacterial small subunit ribosomal RNA", at positions 338 to 795 of the family's 1533-position model. The record is from RNAcentral.